UGUAGGCAAAUCCGCGUGGCUAAGAUGAGGCGUGAUGACGAGGAUCCUCGGAUCCGAAGCGAGUGAUACCCAGCUUCCAGGAAAAGCCUCUAAGCUUCAGUCUAAGAGUGACCGUACCGCAAACCGACACAGGUGGUCUGGUAGAGAAUACCAAGGCGCUUGAGAGAACUCAGGAGAAGGAACUCGGCAAAUUGAUACCGUAACUUCGGGAGAAGGUAUGCCCCUGGUACGUGAAGGCCCUCGCGGCCGGAGCGGAACGGGGUCGCAGAGAAUCGGUGGCUGCGACUGUUUAUUAAAAACACAGCACUCUGCAAACACGAAAGUGGACGUAUAGGGUGUGACGCCUGCCCGGUGCCGGAAGGUUAAGUGAUGGGGUGCAAGCUCUUGAUCGAAGCCCCGGUAAACGGCGGCCGUAACGAUAACGGUCCUAAGGUAGCGAAAUUCCUUGUCGGGUAAGUUCCGACCUGCACGAAUGGCGUAACGAUGGCCACACUGUCUCCUCCUGAGACUCAGCGAAGUUGAAAUGUUUGUGAAGAUGCAAUCUCCCCGCGGCUAGACGGAAAGACCCCAUGAACCUUUACUGUAGCUUUGCAUUGGACUUUGACGGGACUUGUGUAGGAUAGGUGGGAGGCUAUGAAACCGGGACGCCAGUUCCGGCGGAGCCACCCUUGAAAUACCACCCUGGUGUCGUCGAGGUUCUAACCCAGGCCUGUGAAUCCAGGUCGGGGACCGUGCAUGGUGGGCAGUUUGACUGGGGCGGUCUCCUCCCAAAAGGUAACGGAGGAGUACGAAGGUCACCUAGGUACGGUCGGACAUCGUACUGAUAGUGCAAUGGCAAAAGGUGGCUUGACUGCGAGACCCACAAGUCGAGCAGGUGCGAAAGCAGGUCAUAGUGAUCCGGUGGUUCUGUAUGGAAGGGCCAUCGUUCAACGGAUAAAAGGUACUCUGGGGAUAACAGGCUGAUUCCGCCCAAGAGUUCACAUCGACGGCGGAGUUUGGCACCUCGAUGUCGGCUCAUCACAUCCUGGGGCUGUAGCCGGUCCCAAGGGUAUGGCUGUUCGCCAUUUAAAGUGGUACGUGAGCUGGGUUUAAAACGUCGUGAGACAGUUUGGUCCCUAUCUGCCGUGGGCGCUGGAAGUUUGAGAGGGCCUGCUCCUAGUACGAGAGGACCGGAGUGGACGCACCCCUGGUGUACCGGUUGUGACGCCAGUCGCAUCGCCGGGUAGCUAUGUGCGGAAGAGAUAACCGCUGAAAGCAUCUAAGCGGGAAACUCGCCUCAAGAUGAGACUUCCCCGGGGCCUCGAGCCCCCUGAAGGGUCGUUGAAGACCACAACGUUGAUAGGCCGGGUGUGUAAGCGUGGCAACACGUUCAGCUAACCGGUACUAAUUGCCCGUGUGGCUUGAUCC
RNAcentral lists this ribosomal RNA (1407 nucleotides) under metagenome. RNAcentral's name for it is "bacterial LSU rRNA". It matches the Rfam family "Bacterial large subunit ribosomal RNA", at positions 1531 to 2925 of the family's 2925-position model. The record is from RNAcentral.